GUGAGUCAUCGAAUCUUUGAACGCACAUUGCGCCCCUUGGUAUUCCGAGGGGCAUGCCUAUUCGAGCGUCAUAGUGACCACUCCCGCCUCGCGGGGUCUUGGGCGCCGCCUCCGGGCGGGCCUUAAAAUCAGUGGCGGCGCCGUGCGGCUCGUAGCGUAGUAACAUCUCCUCGCUACCGGGUCCGGACGGCCGCUGGCCAGCAACCCCCAACCUGCAUGGGUUGACCUCGGAUUAGGUAGGGAUACCCGCUGAACUUAAGCAUAUCAAUAAGCGGAGGA
This 279-nucleotide unclassified non-coding RNA is filed under the name Hymenoscyphus sp. Its description in RNAcentral is "partial contains 5.8S ribosomal RNA, internal transcribed spacer 2, and large subunit ribosomal RNA". The stretch from base 1 to 71 matches the Rfam family "5.8S ribosomal RNA", at positions 84 to 154 of the family's 154-position model. The record is from RNAcentral. Lineage: Eukaryota; Fungi; Ascomycota; Leotiomycetes; Helotiales; Helotiaceae.